AUAACACCCUGAAGCUCCAACUUUGUGGUGGGCCAAUUAAACUCCAUGAAACAUGGUCAGUACCCUCCUCAUUAUGACAAGCUCACCUUGAUGCUAGUUUCUGUCUGCAACUCCUGGAUUCAAUCACCUCAAAAAAGGGAGAGAUUAAACAGAACAUCUAUAAUCUUCUAAAGACCUAAAAGACUGCAUUAUGUCUGGAAACUGUAGUAUUUAUCUACUAUUCCCAGGAGACUAUUGUAAUCAUGGAAUUGAACUGGAUGUCAGUUGGAAUGUUCAAAAAAAUCCAGGAAAAGACAAAAGGGCCCAUCCUGAAGGCAGAAGACUUGUGGCGAUUUUUAGAAGAAUGGCUUUGUUUUCUAGCAUCCUACAAGUUGAACCACUUCAGAUUGAAUCCAGAGUUUUGAUGACAUGACCUAAAUGCUUCCACCCUUUCUGGCUUGUGUCCACGAGUGAGAGAAGUUUUCUUCCACAGUUUCAUGUCAGACUGCCCAUUUCACUCUGCAGCCUCUAUAAGCCUGCCCCCUGCAUUGCAUAGAAAUGGCCUAAAAUUCUAAACUGACAGAACCUUUAAAUGGCCAGGAGAAUUUAUGUGCUCAAGUAUGGCAUGCUCUAUAGGUUCUCCUCUUUGAGCCACUCAUCUGGAAAUACAACAAACCUGAUGUUAUCAUUGGGUUUCACUGGACAGUUAUGAGAAUUCAUUCUCUUGCACUGGAUAGUAAUUACUGGCCAAUGUCCUGACCACCCAGCUGCGUUCCAGUGAUGGUACCUAGCUUUUGCAUUCCCAUCUUCUGCUGAGGGAAAACUGAACAGUUUAAAAACAAAAAUUUCAAACUGCAUCUCUCAGAUUCCACUUCUACUGGAUUGUGCUGCUUCAGAGAAUUAAGCAUCAUUAGCAGAGGGGGUGCCAGGAGUAUGGAAUGAAGAGGACAAUAUGUGGCCUCUUCCCAAAUCUGUCCCCUUUUUCUGGUAUCUGAGCAGUAUGGAGAGAGAAAUAUGGAUAGGAGCAAGAAAGUCAAGUUUUCACAAGGAACACUGAGGUCAUAGUCAUCCCUGCUUGGGAACCACCAUAAAGGCAAAAUACGAGUGAGGAGGGUUUUCUCAUUUCCCUUUAGAGGACCUGAGAUGGCUUCUUUCGGGUGCAGCAGCUGGGGGAGCCCACUGGACGUGGUAAUCUAUCCAGACGCCUAGAGGAAGAUGGCCAAUGCUAGUCAGACACAACAAAGUCCAGUGUACAAGUGUCAGAGAAGCAGCAGCUUCCUGGGGGAAGCUGACUUUUUGUAUAUACCCAAGAGCCUACUGAAGAACAUCAGGCUUUGUGGAGGACUGCAUGAGUGAUUUGGGAGGAUGUUAUCAAGAGCCAGAUUCUUAUUACUAUUGCAUCUCUCCAUUUGUACCUGUAAGCUAGUGAAGACUGGGAAAAACAGCAUUCCCCAGAUUUAUUCUUAGUUCCAAAAGUUAGGAGAAAUGUUCAACUUUGAAUUUUAAUCACCACCCAUUUAUAACUUUUUUAAACAAUUUUGUUCAAAUAUUAUUGUUUUUCAGAGCCACUAGCUUCUAUUUUAAAAUUAACCUUUAAUUUUAGAAUACAUGUCAAUUUUUUUUAAUGAUUGAAGGUUUAUUUGUGUAUAAGUGUUUGGGAAAACCCGUUUCUCUCCAUGGAUUCAGUCUGCUUCAUUUCGUUUCCCAGUGCUGGGGCUGGUUUGCAGACUUGUAUUUUUCUUUGUGUAAGAACCAAUUUUUAUAAUAAAUUCCCACUCUAGAAUACUCCUUUGGUUCUGUUUCUGUAACUAAACACUGACUGUUGGAAGUAGUUCAAUUAAAGCCACUCCAUUGCAGUUCCUCCAAAUGCUGCCUUUCUGAAUGGGAGGGAGACGAUAGCUGGAGGUGUUGACUGUCUCUGUGGGUACAAUGGGGAAGAGUCAGAAAAUGGGGAUAUGGCUAUAUUUUUGCUAGUCCUCUAAAUCUAGAGCUAGGUGAUCGAUUUUGUUUCUGCAAGAGCACUUACAACCUUCAGCUGUGGCUAAGAAUUUGGAAGCCACCAAAGGAGACGAUGUUCUCAAGAACAGAAGUUUCCACUGAACUUACAAAGAAUAAGCUAACAGAAUAAAU
Long non-coding RNA from Delphinapterus leucas (beluga whale), 2109 nucleotides. RefSeq lists it as uncharacterized. The record is from RefSeq and is a predicted model, not a curated record. Lineage: Eukaryota; Metazoa; Chordata; Mammalia; Artiodactyla; Monodontidae.